Gambusia affinis (western mosquitofish) is the source of this 6428-nucleotide RNA transcript. It is a transcript of the gene named Rho guanine nucleotide exchange factor (GEF) 1b, with no coding region annotated. The transcript is spliced from 32 exons. NCBI's taxonomy places the organism in Eukaryota, Metazoa, Chordata, Actinopteri, Cyprinodontiformes, Poeciliidae. The record is from RefSeq and is a predicted model, not a curated record.
AAACUAGGAAUACGUACACACAGAAACAUAAAAGAAACAGUAGUAUCGUUUCAUAAUAGUAUAAAAUAAAAUGUAACUAUUUGCUUAAUUUUAAACUCUACUUUGUUACUUUUACAGUUUGUUACAGUGAGCCCCUUUUUUCUUUGCUUUUUCCUUUUUUUGAUGUGUACUUCCGCGUAGUGUGUUUUUUCCCCCACUGACACUCGGCAAGUUUCGAACAGGAAACCCAUUAGAGCGCUACAGCCGUCGUUUUCUCUUUAUUAGUCGCAGCGUUUGUUUGGAGCUCAGCGCUCUAAGCCAGCCAUGAGCAUCAUUGGGGCUGAAGAUGAGGACUUCGAGAAUGAUUUAGCAGAUACAACAGAUGAAAAAUGCCCACACUUCGACAGCAUCGACUUGUUGAAGAAACGGCCAACUCACUUGCUGGUGUUCAUGCAGCAUGUCAUUCUCCAGUUUGACCCUGCGCCCUUGUUGUGUUAUCUUCACGCUGACAUUGUGAAGAACCUCAGUGCCAGAGACACCAAGAAACAGUUUCCAGAGUUCUUCAACAACUUCUUGGAGAAGGGUGCUAUUCUCAGAGUGUCGAUGCCAUCCAGUUUAUCCUUUGAAUUGGACCGAACUCGCCCAGAAUUGCUGUCAGAUGACACCCAAAGGCGCUAUGCUGCAGAUGUCCAGAAAUUUCAAACUGCAGAAGUAACUAAACAGCUGGAAGAUUUCAGGCAAAAAAGGAUGAUGGGUAUGACCCUCUGUGAGGAGCAGGUGAUGGACGUGGAGAAUCAUUAUCCCACUGACCGCGUCCCGUUGGAAAUGAAGGAGAAGUCUGUGGCCGAGAAUCUGUUGGAGAAGAUGUAUGAUACACAACUUACUUUUGUCCCAGAUGAGGAUAAAUGCCAAGCCAUCUUUUCUGCAGUGGCUGCCUACAUGAAGCACCUUGAAGUCAAAAACAGGGCAGGAGAUAGUAAAAAGUCCAAAAGAGGUUUCCCUUGGAUUAAGCAGAAGAAUCAUGAUCCUCAAAAACCCAAGACUCGGGGGUUCCAUGUUCCCACCUGGAUUGGAGGCAGUAUCGAAGGCAAACCAAAAGAUCCUGAAGUGGACAAAGAUACUAAAGGAAGGGAAGUUAAAGGGAGUUCUGGCAGAGGCUCGUUGACCGAAUCGCAAGUUCCUUCCAUCAAAAAACCUGAAAACUCAGCCUUAGUUCCAAAUGCGGAGCCUGCUGGCAACAACUUGACCCCCACCACCACAGAGCCCACUCCAACUGAUGGUCAGCCAAGCAGUUGCUUAGAGCUCCCCUCGCCGACAGAGGGGCCCCUUCCAGAGAUCGGAGCCGGGGUUUCUGUUGUUGAGCACAACUUACCCCACGACGCUCACCCAGAGGAGUCGGACAGAGAAAGACGGAAGCCAAGCAGGAAAGUAGGACGCAGCGAGAGCGCCCGUGUGGACCGGCACUCUUCUCGGCGGCGUGGCUCUUCUCGUAAACAGUCUCGGUCCCGUAGCGACGUGGACCUGCAGCCUCCAUCUUCUGCAACAACUUCCGCCCCGCUGUCCCCGCAGCUCCUCCAUCCUUUGGAUGGACCAGCUUUCCCUGCUGACUUGGCUGGCCAGGCCCCAACAAGCCCGUACCCACAGUUGGAGGAGAUUGACCCCCGCUUGCAGGAGUUGGAGCAGGACCCGCCCAGCUGGAGGGUGCUGGCGUCUUCUGAAACCUUAAAGAACCUCAGCAAGAAGGAGACCAAGAGGCAGGAAGUCAUAAACGAGUUAUUUGCCACAGAGCAUGCCCACGUGAGAAUGCUGAGUGUCCUUCAGUGGGUGUUUGCCAAGCCGCUGGAGAGGGAGGAAAUCCUUUCUGCGCUGGACCUUGAGACCAUUUUCCCAAGCCUCGAGGAAAUCAUUGACAUGCACUAUACCUUCUAUGAAAGCCUGAAGAAGCUGCGUUUCAGUGACAACUACAUUGUUAAAAACAUCAGCCACACAUUGCUCAACAGGUUUGGUGGCACUGAAGGAGAAUGGUUUCAGAAACUGACAGCCAGAUUCUGCAGUUACCAGACCUAUGCUCUGGACCAGAUCAAGCAAAGACAGAAGAAAGAUGCUCGCUUUAACUCUUUUAUACAGGAGGCAGAGAGUAAACCCCAGUGCCGCAGACUGCAACUCAAAGACAUUAUUCCUACAGAAAUGCAGAGGCUAACAAAGUAUCCACUGUUGCUGGAAAACAUUGCAAAGAACACAGAGGAAAAAGAGGAGAAGGAGUCAAUCCAGCAAAGCGCAGAGUGCUGCAGAAAGAUCCUCAACCAUGUCAAUGAAGAGGUCAAAACAAUGGGGAACAUGUUGACUCUAAAGGAGUACCAGAAAAAACUGGACACAUCGGGGCUGAAAGCCAGUGUUGAACUUUAUACUGAAUAUAAGAGCAUUGACUUGACUCAGAGGAAGAUGCUUUUUGAAGGUCCGCUGGUCUGGAGAGUCACCAAAGAGAAGGCUAUUGAUGUGCAUUGCUUGCUGCUGGACGAUAUGAUGGUUCUUGCACAGAAGCAGGAGGACAAGAUGUUGCUAAAAUGCCAGAGUAAAAGUAACACUGCACAGGAGGGCAAGCAGAUGCUGAGCCCAAUUAUAAAGCUUGACUCUGUUUUCCUCCGUGAAGUGGCAACAGAUCGGAAGGCUUUUUAUGUGAUAUUCACUUGGGAAAGUGGUGCUCAGAUCUAUGAGCUGGUGGCUCAGUCUGUUGCAGAAAUGAAAACUUGGCAUGAUAUAAUAAAGUCAACGGUUGACGUUCUGAAGAAGAGUGGAUCAUCCAUGCGGUUACAUAUUCCUCCUGGAGUUGGGAUAACUCCUCUCAGUCCCACCACGCUGAAUGUCCCAUUGAAUCCAUCUGAGAAUGGAGGUUUAAGAGGCAGCAGUGACCAAGAAAGGGACAGUGUGACAGAUGACAACGCUGUUCAUCCAAGGGUCAAGCUGAUAGAGAUGUUGACUGACAGGGGCCUCUUUCAGGUGCUGGAUCAUUCCAGCAGGAACCAGGAGAAGUUGGCUGACAGUGCUUUGAAUGAAGUAAUGUCACUUAAAAGAUUGCUGAUCGGCAGCAUCAGUCUGUCAGAGGACACGCAGCAUGAAGAACAUAAAGAGGAGCAACCAGAGAAGCCUUCUGAUGAAACAGAGGUCCUUCAGCCAACAGUAGAAAGCGAAUCUACAGAGAGCGGAUACAUGCAGGUGAACACCAGUCCCUCUAAGAAGGAAGAUGGAGCAAAACAAGAAGAUGAAGAUGGGAGUAUCAGUGCCCCUCUGGUCUUGUCCCAGGAGAGAAGGGACGAAGUAAGCAGAAGGCUGGACAGCCUGCAGCAAAUGAUACAGAGACUACAGGCUAUGGAAGAGGAGCAUCACAAGCUGAGCGAGGUCCUUUCUGAGUUCUCGCUGGAAGGCGCCAACUUCCAAUAAGAUGCCACUUUGCCACCUGCUGGUGACAAGGUGAGAACAACAAACUAGAUCCCUGAAUUUGGUUUUCUUCUGGCUCUGGUUCAGAACAACAUGACUUUCAGAGGCUUCCCUGGAACUCCCCUCCGCCCCCAAACAAACUUCUUGCCUGGAUCCAAGCUGUCACUAUUAUAUCUUUGCAUCAGAGCUGUUUGCUGCCAAAGCAGGAAGUUUUCCGUCUGCCAGAGGAGUGUAAUGGCUUUGUGCUCGGUGAUGGAGUGUGGAAGGUGUAUGUGUAUGUGUGUGUGCAUGCGUUUGUCUGUUUGGAUGCAUGUUUGAAACAAAGAUAUGGAAUGGAAGAAAAAAAAAGAAAGGAGAUAUCCUGCUUUUGAGUGGGAGGUUGUUUUUGCAGAGAGGUGCCAAAAGUAAUGAAGCAAUAUUUUGGUGUGAGAGACAUGCUGCCUAAUGAAAUGUAGUCUUUUCUUUCUGCUGUAACACACAUAUGCACACCCAAGACAUGUAUGCUGGAACAUAAUUGACAGUAAUGCCAAAAAUAGUAAUGUAUAGGAAAAACAAACCCUCAAAGGGUAAUGUAGCAUUAGAAGGAUUAUAAAAAAAAACAAAAAAAAAAACUGCUGGUAUGUAUUAUUUCUAGUUUAUGCCAAAGUACAACAUAGAUGCACUUUUUUCCUGAUCAAGACGAGUUAAAAACACACUGUAACCACAAAAUUUCUUAUUUAAACUCUGUUUCAGUAUGCGUUUCUCAUCUGUUGGGCUUUAUGUGAGCAGCCCUCUGUAUCGGAAGGAUGCAUGCAAGAAAGUGUGUGUAUGUGUGUUACCGGGUUUGAGAACGUGUUUAUUUGGAAUUUCCUUUCUGUUAUUCUCAGUAAAACAUUUAUGAAUAGCGGCACUAUAGGCAAUCAUGCUGUUGAUAAUGGAGACGUGUUUGUAUGUACUGCUUUUAUUUAUUCCUCUGAGGAUUUUUUAGGUCAGCGAGUUGCCUCAUCUUACUGAUACUGUUACAACACUGGGCCAGGUUGAGGCAAGAGCGGCGUGCAAAGGUUGGACAAGGCUGCAGGAGGAAUUCUGGGAUAUGUAAUGCACAUCAAAGGUGGAAAGAGUGAAAACACAUAGGCCUGAGAAGAAUGUUUGGAGUUUCUUGAUGUUUUUGGCUUUGGAUAGUUUGAUAGAAGGUCAUGAAGAGGACCGUGGAGAGAACCUGAGUUUAGGAUUUGUGCUGAUGAAAUUUGAACUCCUAACUGUACCUAAAACGCACCCAGAACUUCAGACUUGUUCAUAAACGCACCGUUUCUGCAGCAUCCAGAGUUUGCAACUUCUGAUUUGAAACAUGCUUCAGUUGGGGUUAAGAUUUGUAUUAUAUAACAUUCGAUGCGUAUAUUAUUCAUUAUAAAGUCCCAACUAGCAAUAUUUGUAUCAACGCUUUUCCUGCCUUUGUAUUUUACUCAGCAGUUGAUUGUAAUUGUAAUUGUUGUAGUAUAAUUCCUAAGUAGUGGCAUGAUUGAGACUGUGCACACAGGACCAAAGACAUGACAUAAAGCACAUUUAAGAGUGGAAAAAGUGUUUUUUCAAUAAAAAAAUAAAAAAAUAGGUGAUUUAAAUGAAUGUACUGGUAAAUAUUAUUAGGACCUGUUAAAGCUUUAUGACCAAAUUGCAGCAGUAUUUGCAGGUCUCUGCUUAUGCCAUAGUGACGUUAACCAUCUAACAAUCAUUCAGGUGACCAGGUGCAUAAGAAAUCUAGCUGCAAGAGGCCAAGCACUGUUAAAGAAUUUGCUACCAAACUGUUUGUAUGGGACCUGCAGAGAAAGAAGGCUAGAACAUACUUAAAACUAGACAAUGUAACAAAUGACACUUUCAGGAUUUGAAGGAAAGAAAGCUGUUGUCUCAUUCCAAUGUCACACUGUCAUCAUGAUCACUUCCUGAUAUGCAUUCUCAUUGUUGCCACAACAGAACCUACCUUCUGAACCUACUGAACCUCAAUAUAUUUACACCUUUUAGUCACUUGAGUGCCACAAGAACCAGAAUCCUGUUUGUUUUUUUUAACUAUACCUCCAUUUUUCCCUCAUGUCUUCCUCUUUAAACUGUAUGCAGUAAAAGAUAGUCUGAAGACACUUUCUUACCUGUCUUCAUAGUAUAUUUACCUUUGCCCAACUGCAUAGUUUUACCAGGAGUUUCCAUUAAUGUACUUACAAAUAGGUUGGGGAUGUUAUUUCAUUUUUUUUCAUUGCUUUUUAUAGAAACUCUUGUAAUGUUGUGCUAUGCAUUUCCUGAUUCUGUAAAACAGGGAGGAAUGUCUCAACCAGUGAAUGCACCAAUGAAUUUAGCAAAUAAUCUAACCAUAACAAAUUCUGUUAACAUUUAAAAGUGUGACUUUUGACUUCAAUAACUCUCGUUAUCAAAUUGCAAAACUCAGAAAGCACUCGUGAUGCCUCCAGGCUUCAUUGGCUGGCAACCAUUACAGACAUUUCUCCCUGUUUCUCCCUUUCUUUGAUGCCUUUUCUCAUUUUUUCUACAUGCCAUGUGUAAAGUGUGUUUAUAUAGUGGUGCCUUCUUCUGUCCAUUGAUUUGUUUGCUUCUUAAAGGGCUUGUAAGUAAAAAAAACUAAUUAAAUGAUUAAUAAGAAGUAAGAUAUCAUGCCAGAAUGUUAAUUAGUACAUUCUGUAAUGUUCUAAUCAACAUCCCAGAAUGUUAAUUCAUAUUUAUGGUAAUUAUGUUUUAGGUUCCGACUUCUUCCCCUUUUCUUUCAAACUCCAUUAAAUCCUUAUGACUUGAGCCCACUCAGCCAGCCAGAGCUCUCAUUAAACAAACACACUGCUCCUUCUUUCAGCUUAUUGAUCUUAUAAGAAAACAAAAUGAAUAAUCGAGAACUAUAUUGUGUAUUUGGUAUUGAUUUUUAUGCUGUAAGAGGCUCUUAAAAGAUGUACACCUAAGGAAAAUUGUGGUACGUUUGUGUUUGGUUUUUUUUAUGUUUUGUUUUUUAAAAAUAAACUGGGGAAAUAAAAUGAAAAAUGUGUUGC